This is a long non-coding RNA of Chenopodium quinoa (quinoa), 2869 nucleotides long. RefSeq lists it as uncharacterized. The record is from RefSeq and is a predicted model, not a curated record. The transcript is spliced from 2 exons. NCBI's taxonomy places the organism in Eukaryota, Viridiplantae, Streptophyta, Magnoliopsida, Caryophyllales, Amaranthaceae.
ACUAUGAGUUAUUUCGGACAAAAUUAGUGGACAAAACCCUUUGAUAAACCCCAAACCUUUCUCCUUUGGAGCUCUUUUAUUAGUUGCGCCCUCUCUCUUUUUUCCAUUGAAGCGCAUACUCUGAUAUCUCCAUUGUAGAAGCUUCUGAGCUUUCCCUCCUCCAAUGAAGCAGCUUCUGAGCUUCAGAGGAAGGUUCAAUAACUGGGACAGCCUUAUUAGGAAUAGUCGUAAGUGUAUAUAUUGCAACAUACACAAUACCAGUCACCCUCCUUAUAUUAGUGGUACAUACGAUGUACUUCAAGCAAGUUGUUUUCAGCAUUGGUUCAAAAACUGGCAGAAUUUAAGAAAGAACAAGCUUACUGCAAGCACUUUUAGCUCUGCAAUUAGGUUUUGGCCUCGUAGGAGAGUUCAAUUGUGGUUAGAGAAGAUAGGGCGAUCGAACCCUUUUCUGGUAAUCUCGCGACCUGUUAUAACAAUAUUAACGAGGAGGAAGCUCUGGAACGGUACAAGAUAUUAACCGACAAGUCUGUUGUGUUUCCUAAAUUUCAGAUUCUUAAUAAGAAUAACUUGAAUGGUGAUGGUUGGCUUGGUGCCUCUCCUGAUGGGGUUGUUGAAGAAAAUGUUUAUGGUUUGCCAUCGGAGGGAGUGUUGGAAAUUAAGUGCCCUUUUUUUGAUGGUGAUAUUAACAAAGCUUUCCCUUGGAAGUAGAUCCCACUUUAUUGUAUGCCACAGGCACAAGGUCUAAUGGAGAUACUGGAUAGGGAUUAGAUGGAUCUCUAUGUUUGGACCCCAAAUGGAAGCAGUUUGUUUAGGCUGUAUCGAGAUGUUGAAUAUUGGGAUGCUAUAAAGAGAGCUUUAGAUGAUUUCUGGUGGAAUCAUGUCCAGCCAGCAAAGGAGCUGUACAAUAAGUCUAAGUUCACUGAUCCCUUGACUCAAUUAAGGUCUCUAAAACCAGAUCCCCGGCAUGAAUUAUGUAGUUAUAUUGUUUAUGAAAGCAAGCAUCUUGUGGACAAUAAAUCUAUGUUAUUGUGGCGUGAAAUUCAUGGCAAAAUACAAGAUUGUUGAAGUCAGAUAUUGCGUUUUCACUUAUUGAUCAUUGCUAUUGCUUAGAGCCCAAUGAUGGAAAGGGAGGUAAGGUGAGCUACUGAGCUGUUAAUAUACUUUGAUGGAAAGUUUAUUUAUUUAUAUUUUCAAUCUAUCUUUGCCUUUAAAUCUAUCUGCAUUAAAUUUCCAACCUGCCUAUCUAUUAUGCUUUAUGUGUAACAUAGGUGCCUUUUGCUGAACUGGUUAAUGCUUAUUUACAAGGGCUAAUCAUGUUAUCCAAAGUCCAAACAAGCAGCUCCCAGAUUCUUUUUCCCAUCUCUUUAGCUGGUAGCUGUUCACGACAUAGUCUUAAGUCUCCUCUUUGCUUCAUGACUUUCCCUGUUCUUGAGGGCAUUGGGGCUAUCAGUACUGAAACUUAAAAUCUGUUAAUAGCUGUAUGUAAUCACGUGCUGACCAAAGUUAUCUAUUUGAUGGUCUUGUGCAUGACUUUUCUCAAUGUUGGUUUUCCUUAGCCUAAUCUAAAGUCCCUAGUUGUUUUUAAUAUUGGUGAUUUCUUCUUAUUGUUGCUUAAUUACUUUAUACUUUGUUAAAUUUAGAAGUUUAUAUGAAUAAUCUUCAAUCUGACCUGGUGGUACCUUCAAAAUGUCUACUGUACACCCCCGUUCCCAAAUAAGCUACUCAAUUGCUUUUGGCAUGGAUAUUAAUAAUAGAGUGUAGAGGAAAACAACGGUAAGCUAUGUUACUCGAACUCUUUCAUUUACCUCACGUGUCCGUGUCGACACGCCUCGUGUCGGACACCGACACCGACACUUGGACACUUCAUUUUUAACUAAAAACACAAUUUUUUUUCAAGAAAAUGGGCGAGUCCGAUACUUGGACACCCGUGUCUAAUAGGACACUUCAUCCGAGUCCAAGUAACAUAGACGGUAAGAGAGUGUCGGAAUAAAGCAAAAGAAAUUGGUUGAGAGAAAAAGUGUACAAUUUAUUUGGGGUAUCCAAGAAAGGAAAUUGUGCAUCUUAUUUCAGGAUAGGCAGAGGGCCAAUGUAACUUUGCCAUGGAUAAAAUAUGUAUAUAAAGUUGCUUAAUUUAAUUUCCUUUAGUCUUCAAAAAAAAAAAAAAAUCCUUUAAGCCUAUUUUGCAGUAUAUAUCUGUAUGGAUAUAAAGGAACUGAUGAGUUUUCCAUUGUAUACCUAGUUUUGUUGUGAGCUUGUGACUAUUAUUUGCCCUCUCACUUUUAGGUUUUUAUCUUGAUGUUUGAAGUGCUCCAGUACCUGCUUACUCAUGGAACCCUGUACAAUUCGUAUGAUUCUAUUGUUAGGUUUGCAAAGCAUUCAGGCUUUUAUGUCUUAUAAUAUUGUGAGCAGAGUAGACAAAUGCUACGUUUGGGAUCUUAAUAUUGCGAAUGUGAUCUUAACUUCUGCAGCAGGAAGAAAACAAAAUGACCUUUAGGAUGAUAAUUGACGUGUUGCUUUUUAUCCAUUUAGAUUGAUAUAUACCAAGCAUUUCUACUGCAAGUUACUUGUGGAUCUUAUCAGAAAGAGCUCAUGCUAUUGUUGUUUACUCUUAUGAGGAAUCUGAAAUAAAAGUUUAGAAAGAAAGUAGGGUAUAAUGUGCAGUCUCUGAGCUCCAAAAGGCCUUUUCCUAGAUGAGAGUUGAUUGAUGUCAUGCUGUCUAUGCUCUUUUUUUCAGACCCCUUUUGGUCCUGUCUAAAUCAUCCACUGUGUUCAUGAUGGGUUUUUUGUUGUCAUUUAUAUACCAAGCACAUUGUAAAUACAUAUAGAGCUGUUGAUCUUGUUAAUCUAUUAAAUAUUCUGACUUUUCUGA